GACGAACGCUGGCGGCGUGCUUAACACAUGCAAGUCGAGCGGUAAGGCCCUUUCGGGGGUACACGAGCGGCGAACGGGUGAGUAACACGUGGGUGACCUGCCCUCAGCUCUGGGAUAAGCCUGGGAAACUGGGUCUAAUACUGGAUAUGACUCCACGGUGCAUGUCGUGGGGUGGAAAGCCUUGUGCGGCUGAGGAUGGGCCCGCGGCCUAUCAGCUUGUUGGUGGGGUGANGGCCUACCAAGGCGACGACGGGUAGCCGGCCUGAGAGGGCGACCGGCCACACUGGGACUGAGACACGGCCCAGACUCCUACGGGAGGCAGCAGUGGGGAAUCUUGCGCAAUGGGCGAAAGCCUGACGCAGCGACGCCGCGUGAGGGAUGACCGGCC
RNAcentral lists this ribosomal RNA (388 nucleotides) under uncultured bacterium. Its description in RNAcentral is "bacterial SSU rRNA". It matches the Rfam family "Bacterial small subunit ribosomal RNA", at positions 28 to 417 of the family's 1533-position model. The record is from RNAcentral.